This 788-nucleotide ribosomal RNA is filed under the name uncultured bacterium. RNAcentral's name for it is "bacterial SSU rRNA". It matches the Rfam family "Bacterial small subunit ribosomal RNA", at positions 8 to 796 of the family's 1533-position model. The record is from RNAcentral.
AGAGUUUGAUCAUGGCUCAGAAUGAACGCUGGCGGCGUGCCUAACACAUGCAAGUCGAGCGAGAAAGUCCUUCGGGAUGAGUACAGCGGCGGACGGGUGAGCAACGCGUGAGAAUCUGCCCUUCAAUGAAGGAUACCCUCGAGAAAUCGAGGUUAAUACUGCAUACGCCCCUUCGGGGAGAAAGGUGGCCUAAUUGCUGCCGUUGAAGGAUGAGCUUGCGUGCUAUCAGCUAGUUGGUAGGGUAAAGGCCUACCAAGGCUAUGACGGCUAGCCGGCCUGAGAGGGUGUACGGCCACAUUGGAACUGAGAUACGGUCCAGACUCCUACGGGAGGCAGCAGUGGGGAAUAUUGCGCAAUGGGCGAAAGCCUGACGCAGCGACGCCGCGUGGAGGAUGAAGGUCUUAGGAUUGUAAACUUCUGUUAAGUGGGAAAAAAGACUCAUUUCUAAUACAGAUGAGGGAUGAUUGUACCACUAAAGAAAGCACCGGCUAAACUCGUGCCAGCAGCCGCGGUAAUACGAGUGGUGCAAGCGUUAUUCGGAAUCAUUGGGCGUAAAGGGCGCGUAGACGGUGCGCUAAGUCUGCUGUUAAAUCCUUCAGCUCAACUGAAGAUCAGCGGUGGAUACUGGCGUGCUAGAGGGUGGAAGAGAGAAGUGGAAUUCUCGGAGUAGCGGUAAAAUGCGUAGAUCUCGAGAGGAACACCAAUGGCGAAGGCAGCUUCUUGGUCCACUCCUGACGUUGAGGCGCGAAAGCGUGGGGAGCAAACAGGAUUAGAUACCCUAGUAGUCC